GGCUCACCUAGGCGACGAUCCCUAGCUGGUCUGAGAGGAUGACCAGCCACACUGGAACUGAGACACGGUCCAGACUCCUACGGGAGGCAGCAGUGGGGAAUAUUGCACAAUGGGCGCAAGCCUGAUGCAGCCAUGCCGCGUGUGUGAAGAAGGCCUUCGGGUUGUAAAGCACUUUCAGCGGGGAGGAAGGCGUUAAGGUUAAUAACCUUGGCGAUUGACGUUACCCGCAGAAGAAGCACCGGCUAACUCCGUGCCAGCAGCCGCGGUAAUACGGAGGGUGCAAGCGUUAAUCGGAAUUACUGGGCGUAAAGCGCACGCAGGCGGUCUGUCAAGUCGGAUGUGAAAUCCCCGGGCUCAACCUGGGAACUGCAUUCGAAACUGGCAGGCUAGAGUCUUGUAGAGGGGGGUAGAAUUCCAGGUGUAGCGGUGAAAUGCGUAGAGAUCUGGAGGAAUACCGGUGGCGAAGGCGGCCCCCUGGACAAAGACUGACGCUCAGGUGCGAAAGCGUGGGGAGCAAACAGGAUUAGAUACCCUGGUAGUCCACGCCGUAAACGAUGUCGAUUUGGAGGUUGUGCCCUUGAGGCGUGGCUUCCGGAGCUAACGCGUUAAAUCGACCGCCUGGGGAGUACGGCCGCAAGGUUAAAACUCAAAUGAAUUGACGGGGGCCCGCACAAGCGGUGGAGCAUGUGGUUUAAUUCGAUGCAACGCGAAGAACCUUACCUGGUCUUGACAUCCACAGAACUUUCCAGAGAUGGAUUGGUGCCUUCGGGAACUGUGAGACAGGUGCUGCAUGGCUGUCGUCAGCUCGUGUUGUGAAAUGUUGGGUUAAGUCCCGCAACGAGCGCAACCCUUAUCCUUUGUUGCCAGCGGUUAGGCCGGGAACUCAAAGGAGACUGCCAGUGAUAAACUGGAGGAAGGUGGGGAUGACGUCAAGUCAUCAUGGCCCUUACGACCAGGGCUACACACGUGCUACAAUGGCAUAUACAAAGAGAAGCGACCUCGCGAGAGCAAGCGGACCUCAUAAAGUAUGUCGUAGUCCGGAUUGGAGUCUGCAACUCGACUCCAUGAAGUCGGAAUCGCUAGUAAUCGUAGAUCAGAAUGCUACGGUGAAUACGUUCCCGGGCCUUGUACACACCGCCCGUCACACCAUGGGAGUGGGUUGCAAAAGAAGUAGGUAGCUUAACCUUCGGGAGGGCGCUUACCACUUUGUGAUUCAUGACUGGGGUGAAGUCGUAACAAGGUAACCGUAGGGGAACCUGCGGUUGGAUCACCUCCUUA
RNAcentral lists this ribosomal RNA (1278 nucleotides) under Klebsiella pneumoniae. Its description in RNAcentral is "bacterial SSU rRNA". It matches the Rfam family "Bacterial small subunit ribosomal RNA", at positions 262 to 1533 of the family's 1533-position model. Lineage: Bacteria; Pseudomonadati; Pseudomonadota; Gammaproteobacteria; Enterobacterales; Enterobacteriaceae. The record is from RNAcentral. RNAcentral also lists the same sequence under 2 other names.